GGAGAGGUGGCUGAGUGGUCGAAAGCGUCGGUUUGCUAAACCGAUGUAGGGGUCAAACCCUACCGCAGGUUCGAAUCCUGUCCUCUCCG
RNAcentral lists this transfer RNA (89 nucleotides) under Planctomycetales bacterium. RNAcentral describes it as "tRNA-Ser". It matches the Rfam family "tRNA". Rfam says of the family: Transfer RNA (tRNA) molecules are approximately 80 nucleotides in length. Their secondary structure includes four short double-helical elements and three loops (D, anti-codon, and T loops). Lineage: Bacteria; Pseudomonadati; Planctomycetota; Planctomycetia; Planctomycetales. The record is from RNAcentral.